AGUGAACGCUGGCGGUAGGCCUAACACAUGCAAGUCGAACGGCAGCACAGUAAGCGCUUGCUCUUACGGGUGGCGAGUGGCGGACGGGUGAGGAAUACAUCGGAAUCUACUUUUUCGUGGGGGAUAACGUAGGGAAACUUACGCUAAUACCGCAUACGACCUACGGGUGAAAUCAGGGGAUCUUCGGACCUUGCGCGAUUGAAUGAGCCGAUGUCGGAUUAGCUAGUUGCCGGGGUAAAGGCCCACCAAGGCGACGAUCCGUAGCUGGUCUGAGAGGAUGAUCGGCCACACUGGAACUGAGACACGGUCCAGACUCCUACGGGAGGCAGCAGUGGGGAAUAUUGGACAAUGGGCGCAAGCCUGAUCCAGCCAUACCGCGUGGGUGAAGAAGGCCUUCGGGUUGUAAAGCCCUUUUGUUGGGAAAGAAAAGCAGCAGGUUAAUACCCCGCUGUUCUGACGGUACCCAAAGAAUAAGCACCGGCUAACUUCGUG
RNAcentral lists this ribosomal RNA (492 nucleotides) under uncultured bacterium. RNAcentral describes it as "partial 16S ribosomal RNA". It matches the Rfam family "Bacterial small subunit ribosomal RNA", at positions 29 to 507 of the family's 1533-position model. The record is from RNAcentral.